RNAcentral lists this ribosomal RNA (871 nucleotides) under Darkera picea. RNAcentral describes it as "SSU rRNA". It matches the Rfam family "Eukaryotic small subunit ribosomal RNA", at positions 222 to 1098 of the family's 1831-position model. Lineage: Eukaryota; Fungi; Ascomycota; Leotiomycetes; Phacidiales; Phacidiaceae. The record is from RNAcentral.
CCAAUGCCCUUCGGGGCUCCUUGGUGAUUCAUAAUAACUUAACGAAUCGCAUGGCCUUGUGCCGGCGAUGGUUCAUUCAAAUUUCUGCCCUAUCAACUUUCGAUGGUAGGAUAGUGGCCUACCAUGGUUUCAACGGGUAACGGGGAAUUAGGGUUCUAUUCCGGAGAGGGAGCCUGAGAAACGGCUACCACAUCCAAGGAAGGCAGCAGGCGCGCAAAUUACCCAAUCCCGACACGGGGAGGUAGUGACAAUAAAUACUGAUACAGGGCUCUUUUGGGUCUUGUAAUUGGAAUGAGUACAAUUUAAAUCCCUUAACGAGGAACAAUUGGAGGGCAAGUCUGGUGCCAGCAGCCGCGGUAAUUCCAGCUCCAAUAGCGUAUAUUAAAGUUGUUGCAGUUAAAAAGCUCGUAGUUGAACCUUGGGCCUGGCUGGCCGGUCCGCCUCACCGCGUGCACUGGUCCGGCCGGGUCUUUCCUUCUGGGGAGCCGCAUGCCCUUCACUGGGUGUGUCGGGGAACCAGGACUUUUACUUUGAAAAAAUUAGAGUGUUCAAAGCAGGCCUAUGCUCGAAUACAUUAGCAUGGAAUAAUAGAAUAGGACGUGUGGUUCUAUUUUGUUGGUUUCUAGGACCGCCGUAAUGAUUAAUAGGGAUAGUCGGGGGCAUCAGUAUUCAAUUGUCAGAGGUGAAAUUCUUGGAUUUAUUGAAGACUAACUACUGCGAAAGCAUUUGCCAAGGAUGUUUUCAUUAAUCAGUGAACGAAAGUUAGGGGAUCGAAGACGAUCAGAUACCGUCGUAGUCUUAACCAUAAACUAUGCCGACUAGGGAUCGGGCGAUGUUAUCUUUUUGACUCGCUCGGCACCUUACGAGAAAU